This 466-nucleotide ribosomal RNA is filed under the name uncultured bacterium. Its description in RNAcentral is "partial 16S ribosomal RNA". It matches the Rfam family "Bacterial small subunit ribosomal RNA", at positions 28 to 507 of the family's 1533-position model. The record is from RNAcentral.
GAUGAACGCUGGCGGCGUGCUUAACACAUGCAAGUCGAACGAUGAAGCCCAGCUUGCUGGGUGGAUUAGUGGCGAACGGGUGAGUAACACGUGAGUAACCUGCCCUUGACUCUGGGAUAAGCCUGGGAAACUGGGUCUAAUACUGGAUAUGACUUCUCAUCGCAUGGUGGGGGGGGGAAAGAUUUAUUGGUCUUGGAUGGACUCGCGGCCUAUCAGCUUGUUGGUGAGGUAAUGGCUCACCAAGGCGACGACGGGUAGCCGGCCUGAGAGGGUGACCGGCCACACUGGGACUGAGACACGGCCCAGACUCCUACGGGAGGCAGCAGUGGGGAAUAUUGCACAAUGGGCGCAAGCCUGAUGCAGCGACGCCGCGUGAGGGAUGACGGCCUUCGGGUUGUAAACCUCUUUCAGUAGGGAAGAAGCGAGAGUGACGGUACCUGCAGAAGAAGCGCCGGCUAACUACGUG